CCUACGGGUGGCAGCAGUGAGGAAUAUUGGUCAAUGGCCGGAAGGCUGAACCAGCCAAGCCGCGUGAAGGACGAAGGUGCCAAGCAUUGUAAACUUCUUUUGUCAAGGAACAAAAUCAUGCUCGAGAGCCUGACCGAGGGUACUUGAAGAAAAAGCCUUGUCUAACUCCGGUCCAGCAGCCGCGGUAAUAAGGAGGAUGCGAGCGUUAGUCGGAUUUAUUGGGUUUAAAGGGUGCGUAGGCGGGAUGUUAAGUCAGCGGUAAAAGCUCGGGGCUCAAACCCGGCGAGCCGUUGAAACUGGCUGUCUUGAGAUGUCGAGAGGUAUGCGGAAUGCGCAGUGUAGCGGUGAAAUGCUUAGAUAUUGCGCAGAACUCCGAUUGCGAAGGCAGCAUACCGGCGGCGAUCUGACGCUGAGGCACGAAAGCGUGGGUAUCGAACAGGAUUAGAUACCCUUGUAGUC
RNAcentral lists this ribosomal RNA (459 nucleotides) under uncultured bacterium. Its description in RNAcentral is "partial 16S ribosomal RNA". It matches the Rfam family "Bacterial small subunit ribosomal RNA", at positions 338 to 795 of the family's 1533-position model. The record is from RNAcentral.